UUUCAACUUCCGCAGCUCCCAAACGAUUAGCAGCUUCUCCGACGACCGGCGACUCAGAAAUCAACCAUGGGUAAGGUUCACGGAUCACUUGCUCGUGCCGGUAAGGUUAGGGGGCAAACACCAAAGGUUGCAAAACAGGAUAAGAAGAAGAAGCCAAGAGGACGUGCACACAAGCGUAUGCAAUACAAUCGCAGAUUUGUCACUGCUGGUAACAUUGCUUUCCUUUUGUUGUUUCACUUUAUGGAGGCAGUAUGUUUACUGCCGUAUAUGCUUGAAUUAUAUAUGGAAGUAUAACAUGGAAGUAUAACCUAAUUGAAUUUAUGCCUAUAUGCAAGCAAAAGCAAUAAAGUUUAUGCCUUUAACCAAGUUUGUAUCUUUUGUCCGAAGAUAGUUGUAGUUUUGUUGAUGCUCAUUGAUAUACAGUACCUUCUAGUUUAAAAUUAUUGUUUCUAUGGUCUUCAUCUUAUACAUGAAAUUGGCAAAUUUAUAUUAGUUGACAUUAGCACUCCUUUUCAGGAUUAGGGGAAGUUUAAACAAGAUUUGAUCUGUGAACAAAGUAGUCAUUGACAAUUAUACAUAGAUUGUAUGUGUGUGUGUACAAAUCACUUGUGUAUGAUCCAUAUUCUAGAGUAUGCAAGAUUGUGCAUUGCUGUAAAAGUAGCUUUGCUGGUGCAUGCUCCCUAGAAAUCUUUGAAUUUGAAUCUUUGCAAUAAAGAAAUCUACUUCUACUUUUGGGACAGUCGAAUCUUAAUUAUACAUAAUAUCUAUGUGGUUUAGUUUUGGUUUUAUCUGUUUCCUCAAGUAUAUGAUCUUAACACAGUGAUGGUACUAUUUCGUUUCUUCUUUUAAAGAAGCAAGUAAUGUAACUGUUAACACCUGUAGACAUACACAAUGAUGUUCAGAGAUCAAAUGUGUGUACAAAUUGCUUAUGUUCCUCCUUAGAUGUGCAUAUACUCGAGUAUACUAAUUAUGCUUGUAUUAUGCUGGUUACGGAAGUUCCAGGGAAAUUUUACCUCAUAGGAUAUCUCCCAAAUCUGCCUUAUUUUUUCUUGCAUCUGCUACUAAGUAGAGUUCUGAUUGCAGAUCUUUAGUAAAGUAUCUGAGCUGUUUAAUUUAAGGUUUCCUAUUUCUCUUCUCAUAAUUGUAUGUUCCUAGCAUUGAAUCUGUUGUACUUCAAUGAACAAGGGGCUGUGAUGUUUCUUUUGUGUUAACCUUUUAUCUGUAUUUGGUCAAUACUUGUAUUGUAUGUGCGCUUUAUUUUGGUUACGUCUGCUUGCAGUUGUUGGCUUUGGAAAGAAGAGAGGACCAAACUCUUCCGAGAAGUAGAUGACGACGACUUUAGUUAUUUUAGGUUGAGGAGUUACUGCUUCAAAAGUUUUCAUCUUUGUGAUGUUUAUAAAUUUUGAUUCUCAAACCUCAUAAUGAGAAAAGACUGGUGUUUGUAGGAUGGAUGAUUACAUUCUGUUUUGCAAGAAUUAAUUGAAUUUUAUCCUUUGGUCUUUCUACUGAUUUUUAUUCAUCGCUUGAAUGUUUUAUGCUAUUCAUGUUUAAUGAUUCUUGGAGUCACCCUUGUUGCUAUUGCUAUGCUAUUAGAUCAGAUAAUACAUGAUAGAAUAUGUUUUUACAAUAGUGCUAUGCUGAAAACUCAACUUCUAUUUAGGAAUUUUAGAAAUUAUGAUGUUGGAACUGUAAUAUGAACAUGCUUUUACAAUCUAUAUAUGUAGUGCUAUGCUGGAAAACUCAACUUCUUAUUUAGGAAAUUUAUAAACUUUGAUGAUGGAACUAUUAUGUGAACAUGAAACUAGCUUUUGACCAUAGAUUUUCGAUUAUUAUUAGCAAAUAUUAUUUUAGUGAAAAUUUGGGUGAAAUUUCACUAUGUAUUUGGCCAUAGGAUUUGGGAAAUAUAUUUCACCUUUUUAGAAAAAUAUGAUUUAUACACACUAAAAGUUUGUAUUACAAGUCAAUUGGAUGUUCGUUACAACAAUAACAAAUAGUGUCCAUGACACUAAAACAAUGUGGUAAUUUGGAGUGAGUGCAAUAAGAAUUAUUUCAUACAUCGUGAAGUAGACAAAGCACACGACUUUAAUACCUAGAGCCAAUUUUUAAUAAUUUUCAUCAACAAUCAUAUCAUUAUUCAAUAUUCACUAAAUAUUUCAUCACUAUUUUGAUAUUCACGUAAAAAAUUAUGUAAUACAACGCAAGCAACUACUAGAAAGGGUGUUUUUGUAAAAGAUAAAAGAUUGGGGUAAAAUUUUAAUUUUCAAAAUAUUUCAAAUAAUGAAAUUUGGCCCAAAUAAUGAGAUUUGACCUAAAUACUAGAAAAAACUAGUAUUUAGAAAUUUAGGAUAUUUGAUAAAAAUAUUUGCCAAAUAAUGACAAAUUAUAU
This 2386-nucleotide long non-coding RNA is filed under the name Solanum lycopersicum (tomato). Its description in RNAcentral is "partial TCONS_00196993". Lineage: Eukaryota; Viridiplantae; Streptophyta; Magnoliopsida; Solanales; Solanaceae. The record is from RNAcentral.